Molecule: ribosomal RNA, 452 nt
Filed under: uncultured bacterium
Lineage: Bacteria
Description: bacterial SSU rRNA
Rfam family: Bacterial small subunit ribosomal RNA
Source: RNAcentral
ACUCCUACGGGAGGCAGCAGUGGGGAAUAUUGCACAAUGGGCGCAAGCCUGAUGCAGCCAUGCCGCGUGUAUGAAGAAGGCCUUCGGGUUGUAAAGUACUUUCAGCAGUGAGGAAGGCAGGUACGUUAAUAGCGUGCUUGUUUGACGUUAGCUGCAGAAGAAGCACCGGCUAACUCCGUGCCAGCAGCCGCGGUAAUACGGAGGGUGCGAGCGUUAAUCGGAAUUACUGGGCGUAAAGCGCAUGCAGGUGGUUGUUAAGUCAGAUGUGAAAGCCCGGGGCUCAACCUCGGAAUUGCAUUUGAAACUGGCAGACUAGAGUACUGGUAGAGGGGGUUAGAAUUUCAGGUGUAGCGGUGAAAUGCGUAGAGAUCUGAAGGAUACCGGUGGCGAAGGCGGCCCCUGGACAGAUACUGACACUCAGAUGCGAAAGCGUGGGAGCAAACAGGAUUAGA